This 253-nucleotide ribosomal RNA is filed under the name uncultured bacterium. RNAcentral describes it as "partial 16S ribosomal RNA". It matches the Rfam family "Bacterial small subunit ribosomal RNA", at positions 524 to 776 of the family's 1533-position model. The record is from RNAcentral.
UACGUAGAGUGCGAGCGUUAAUCGGAAUUACUGGGCGUAAAGCGUGCGCAGGCGGAUUUGCAAGACAGAGGAGAAAUCCCCGGGCUCAACCUGGGAACUGCCUUUGUGACUGCAAGGCUAGAGUACGGCAGAGGGGGAUGGAAUUCCGCGUGUAGCAGUGAAAUGCGUGGAUAUGAGGAGGAACACCGAUGGCGAAGGCAAUCCACUGGGCCUGUACUGACGCUCAUGCACGAAAGCGUUGGGAGCAAACAGG